This 253-nucleotide ribosomal RNA is filed under the name uncultured bacterium. Its description in RNAcentral is "partial 16S ribosomal RNA". It matches the Rfam family "Bacterial small subunit ribosomal RNA", at positions 524 to 776 of the family's 1533-position model. The record is from RNAcentral.
UACGUAGGGCGCAAGCGUUGUCCGGAAUUAUUGGGCGUAAAGAGCUCGUAGGCGGCUUGUCACGUCUGCUGUGAAAUCCCGGGGCUCAACCCCGGGCGUGCAGUGGAUACGGGCUGGCUAGAGGCAGGCAGGGGAGAACGGAAUUCCCGGUGUAGCGGUGAAAUGCGCAGAUAUCAGGAAGAACACCCGUGGCGAAGGCGGCUCGCUGGGACGUGACUGACGCUGAGACGCGAAAGCGUGGGGAGCAAACAGG